AAAGUCGUAACAAGGUUUCCGUAGGUGAACCUGCGGAAGGAUCAUUAAAGAAUUUUGAAAGGGGUUGUAGCAGGCCGGAAGGCAUGUGCACGCCUCGAUCAUCAUCCAUCUCACACCUGUGCACACACUGUAGGUCGGUUUGUGGGGCGAGAUCUUCAUCGAUUUUGCUUUGCGGGCCUUCCUAUGUUUUAUCACAAACUACUAGUUUAGAGAAUGUCUACUGCGUGUAACGCAUUUAUAUACAA
Molecule: unclassified non-coding RNA, 245 nt
Filed under: plant metagenome
Description: partial contains small subunit ribosomal RNA and internal transcribed spacer 1
Rfam family: Eukaryotic small subunit ribosomal RNA (bases 1-47)
Source: RNAcentral